GCCUAUAUAGCUCAGUUGGUUAGAGCGUGGUGAUGAUAAUGCAAAGGUUGCAGGUUCGAUCCCUGUAUGGAACA
This 74-nucleotide transfer RNA is filed under the name Podarcis lilfordi (Lilford's wall lizard). RNAcentral describes it as "tRNA.Ile". The stretch from base 8 to 66 matches the Rfam family "tRNA", at positions 8 to 63 of the family's 71-position model. Rfam says of the family: Transfer RNA (tRNA) molecules are approximately 80 nucleotides in length. Their secondary structure includes four short double-helical elements and three loops (D, anti-codon, and T loops). The record is from RNAcentral. Lineage: Eukaryota; Metazoa; Chordata; Lepidosauria; Squamata; Lacertidae.